This 2067-nucleotide unclassified non-coding RNA is filed under the name Hevea brasiliensis (rubber tree). Lineage: Eukaryota; Viridiplantae; Streptophyta; Magnoliopsida; Malpighiales; Euphorbiaceae. The record is from RNAcentral.
AAACAUAAAAGGGUAAAUAUAAGUAGUUAGAUUGCGACAUUGGCUUGACUAGUCAUUUUGAUGUGAAAAACAAUCUUAUUACUUAUGUAAAUUCAAAUUAAAUUGAAUUAAAUUGUUAUUUGACCGGCACUCUCUUCAAAUUUAAUAAUUUUUAUGAAUUUUUUUUUUUUAAUUUUUGUGCCAUGUCUUACUCAGGCACGUGCUUUGCGCCUAGGCUUUAGACCUUUGUCACCUUGGUGCACCUUGAACCUUCAAUAACUAUGGCUGUUGACAUACCUUUACUAUUUUUUUAGCCAUUCCUUGAAUGAUCUGACACGUUCAGCAGCUGCGCAAGCUUAAUUGUCACUUUACCUUUUACCUAUUCAUUGUUGUCUUGUCACUGAGAAGCUCCACCAUUGCAGAUCUGGGAUCUGAUUCAUUCCUCUCUUCUAAUUUGUCACAUCCAAAGGCCAGUAGCUUCCAAAUAGCACAGACUAUUUUCCUUUUUUGUUUUUAAUAAUGACUUUAUUGCUUUGGAAUAUAACUUAAUGUAUGUGAGACUUGCCAGUAACGAUGGAGAAGGUGAAAGUUGUAAUAAGUUUAUCUUGAAUGAUUGUGUGUUUUGAUGGCAGACUUGGCAACUUGAUGGACAAUAAAGUUGCAUUGUUUGUUCUCACGUGUUCUGUUGCUUGGAUUGAACUUUGUAGUAGAUUUGUGAUGAAGCUUCUUGGGUUGUGGGAUGGAGAGGUGGUGCAGCUCUGACUUACAGAAAAGAGUGGGAAGAGAAAAAUAUUUAUAAUGUAUUUUUAAUUUUUUUAUAAUUAAUAUUUUAACUGGCUUGGUUAUGGGAUAUAUAUAGAAGGGCAGAAUAAGUAUUUUAUUUCAAAUUAACUCCAUAUUUGCAGCACAUAAGCAGAAAUGAAUGGCAUUACAUGAAUCAAUACUGAAGUGCUAACACGGAUUUAUAUGGUACAAGAAAGUCUAUUACUGUCCAAUAAGUGUUGGUGUGCUAACCACGGGCCAUGAUUUUGGGCUUUUCCAGUAAUUUUUUAUUUGUUUUGAACUACCAACCAUUGACAACUGCUUAGUGUAGUGUUUCUUACAAAGUAUGCAUGAAAAAUUGUGUAGUGCUGUAUUAGCCCAUUUCUUGUUGAAGGAGAAACUGCAAAAGAUGGGAAUGUUGGGUUGUCUUCUAUGCAUAGUGGGUUCCACGGUGAUUGUAUUACAUGCACCUGAAGAACAGUCCAUUAAUUCGGUUGAAGAAAUCUGGGAAUUAGCUAUCCAACCAGCAUUUCUUUUGUAUACAGCCUCUGUUGUAGCUGUAGCAUUUGUAUUGAUCUUGUAUUGUGCUCCCCGCUAUGGCCAGACCAACAUCAUCAUCUAUAUAGGAAUAUGCUCCAUAAUUGGAUCAUUGACGGUUAUGAGCAUAAAAGCUAUUGGUAUUGCAAUAGAACUAACAUUGGAGGGCAUAAACCAGGCAAAAUAUUUCCAGACAUGGGUUUUUGCAAUGGUUGCAAUUACCUGUAUCAUCACUCAAUUAAAUUAUCUAAACAUGGCAUUGGAUACUUUCAACACAGCAAUUGUUUCUCCAAUAUAUUAUGCCAUGUUCACAUCUUUUACAAUACUUGCUAGCGCUAUAAUGUUCAAGGAUUAUUCUGGCCAAAGUGCAAGCAGUAUAGCAUCUGAGCUUUGUGGGUUUAUCACUGUAUUAUCCGGGACUGCUGUGUUACAUAGUACGAGAGACCCUGAUCCACCUUUUGUAACAGAUCUUUAUACUCCAUUGUCUCCAAAAGUAUCAUGGUACAUCCAAGGCAAUGGGGAACUUUGGAAGCAGAAAGACGAAGAUGGGCAAACCUCCAAUUUUGUUACAGUUCUGCGGCAAGACUACUUCAAGUAAAUAGAAAGUACGCUUUGGGAACAAAAGGUUUGAAAAUAUCAACAUGUCUGGAGCUUCAGAAUCCUAUGGGGUUGUGCAGGCGAAAAGUAUCUGGUAAUAUUUUUUUAGGAUAAAUUCUUUGUAUUUCUUUGACCUAUUAAGAGGUCGAAAAAUAUUUGUUUCCAUUUUGUGCUGCAAUCCCGAGUGACUAU